Molecule: microRNA precursor, 102 nt
Filed under: Marmota monax (woodchuck)
Lineage: Eukaryota; Metazoa; Chordata; Mammalia; Rodentia; Sciuridae
Source: RNAcentral
AGUGGGAGAGCUGGGUCAAAUGGUAGUUCCUUCCCAGUUUUCUAAGGAAUAUCCAUACCACUUUCCAUAUUGGCUAUACCAAUUUGAAGUCCCACUAGCAAU